Molecule: ribosomal RNA, 398 nt
Filed under: uncultured Lactobacillus sp.
Lineage: Bacteria; Bacillati; Bacillota; Bacilli; Lactobacillales; Lactobacillaceae
Description: bacterial SSU rRNA
Rfam family: Bacterial small subunit ribosomal RNA
Source: RNAcentral
AAACAGAUGCUAAUACCGGAUAACAACACUAGACGCAUGUCUAGAGUUUAAAAAGAUGGUUCUGCUAUCACUCUUGGAUGGGACCUGCGGGUGCAUUAGCUAGUUGGGUAAGGGCAACGGGCUUACCAAGGCAAUGAUGCAUAGCCGAGUUGAGAGACUGAUCGGCCACAUUGGGACUGAGACACGGCCCAAACUCCUACGGGAGGCAGCAGUAGGGGAAUCUUCCACAAUGGACACAAGUCUGAUGGAGCAACGCCGCGUGAGUGAAGUAAGGGUUUCGGCUCGUAAAGCUCUGUUGGUAGUGAAGAAAGAUAGAGGUAGUAACUGGCCUUUAUUUGACGGUAAUUACUUAGAAAAGUCACGGGGCUAACUACGUGCCCAGCAGCCGCGGGUAAAUA